This 1030-nucleotide long non-coding RNA is filed under the name Coturnix japonica (Japanese quail). Its description in RNAcentral is "lncRNA (ENSCJPG00005006539.1)". The record is from RNAcentral. Lineage: Eukaryota; Metazoa; Chordata; Aves; Galliformes; Phasianidae.
UGAUGUGAGUUGACCCAUGUUGCUCUGUGUUGACCCACGUUGAUGAGUGUUGACCCACGUUGAUGUGUGUUGACCCAUGUUGCUGUGUGUUGACCCACACCGUUCCAUACUGAUGUGUUAAGGUGAGAUUGUCUCAUGCUGAAUCAGGGUUGAUCUGUUUUGGACCACGUUGACACGUGUUGAUCCACACUGACGUGUGCUCAUUUGCUUUGAGUUGACCCUUGUGUUGAUGCAUGUUGAUGUAUGUGGAGCCAUGUUUGGAGCCAUGUUGGUGUAUGUGGAGCCAUGUUGAUCUGUUUUGCUACCUCUAUGGAUCCACAUUGACAACAUAACUCUCUUUUGACCUCUGUUGGCCCACAUAUGACUCAUGUUGACUCAUGUUGACCCACAAUGAGCUGCUGUCAGCCUGCAUAGCCCCAUGUAGAUCACGUUGACCCAUGUAGAUCACAUUGACUCAUGCUGGCUCCUACGUAGCUCCAUGUUGAUCAUAUUGACCCAUGUUGGUCCCUACAUAGCUCCAUGUUGAUCCACAUUGACCCAUGUUGAUGAUAUUGACCCAUGUUUGCCCCUACGUAGCUCCAUGUUGAUCCCAUUGACCCAUGUUGGCUCCUACGUAGUUCCAUCUUGAUCACAUUGACCCAUGUUGGCCUCUACGUAGCUCCAUGUUGAUCACAUUGACCCAUGUUGGCCCCUACAUAGCUCCAUAUUGAUCAUGUUGACCCAUGAUGGCUCCUAUGUAGCUCCAUGUUGAUCACAUUGACCCAUGUUGAUCACAUUGACCCAUGUUGGCCCCUACGUAGCCCUAUGUUGAUCACACUGACCCAUGUUGGCCCCUACGUAGCCCUAUGUUGAUCACACUGACCCAUGUUGGCCCCUAUGUAGCUCCAUGUUGAUCCACGUUGACCCAUGUAGGCCCAUGAUGAUCUGCUGUCAGCCUACGUAGCUCCAUGUUGACCACGUUGACCUAUCUAUCUCUUUGCAGGUGAGAAACCCCACCAGUGCAGCAUCUGUUGGCGCUCCUUCUCUCUAA